Cyprinus carpio carpio is the source of this 1358-nucleotide long non-coding RNA. Lineage: Eukaryota; Metazoa; Chordata; Actinopteri; Cypriniformes; Cyprinidae. The record is from Ensembl.
GUGGGGCCUCAGGCACUGCCUCGUCCGCCAUUGGGGAGCCGCGGUCGCUCAACUCGAGGUGUAACCCUGCCGACUACGCCAAAAUCUGUCGCCGGUCAGAGCGGACCACCCAUUUAACGGGUCUCGCUCCUCCCUCUAACUUCCACCUCGAGGAGGUCCCACAACACCCCAAUGAACGGACAGACAACCAAGAUUAAAAUUUAACAAUUUUAAUUAUUUAAAAGUUUGGGGAAAGGGGAGGGGGAAACUUUAAAACUACUAAUGACUCGUACUAUUCUUCUGUCCACAGAUACGGAUUCCAGUCCUCAAUAACACUCCUCUUCAGCCCUUGCUCGGCACACUCCACUUCAGCCCUCAAUUUCCAGCCGACUCCACUCCAGGUAAGUGUAAGGCAAGAGCCAGGCAGUUGAUGUACAGGGAUUUUCUGGCUCUAGGGGAGGGGGGGAUGGACUUCAAGACCCAAGGCUGAGCUGUUAGCACGCAGGAGUUCUAGCUCUCAGGUAAGCACAAAGUUCAAUACACAGGUGAGUAUUCACAGGGCUGGGCUGUUAGCGUGCAGGGGUUCUAGCUCUCAGGUAAGCACAAAGUUCAAUACACAGGUGAGUAUUCACAGGGCUGGGCUGUUAGCGUGCUACUCACCACUGAAGAUAUUCAGAGGUCGGUGUUCCCAGCGGAUACGGGUUUUGGUCGAUGACUGACGGCUGGUGGGCCUUACAGGUGAAACUGCGAACAACACUGGGCUUCCCACCCAGCUUGGCAAGGGGACACACGGGGGAGGAUCGGCUGCUGUCCUUCGCUUCCCUCGUCGAAGAGACAGCACAGACGACACGCACAAGGCCGGUGGUUGCUAACAAGGCCAAUGACACAACGUCACGUGGAUGAAAAGGUAAGGCUUUGAUUUGAAAGCUUACAGAGAUCGCUGUGUGGGCGACGUCAUCCAACCUCCUCCAGAGGCGCCUCCAACACGUCCAAGCUCCAGCUUACUUAAAGGAAAGGCUGUGGUUGCCACCAAUACACUGCUCCUCUCUGUCAGGCCUCUUCCUACGACCGGGGACACAGCCACAGACAAACACCACACACCACAAAGGCACUACAAUUCUUCUCGUGUGUACACUUCAAUACAGCAGCACUCACCGCACUCCACACACUCAGUGAAAGAAGAUCCGUGGUGUAGUCCCGUUUCGGGCUCAGAGUCCUGGCGGGGCGUGUCAGAUGGACAUAGGCAGGGGGCAAACCACAGCAGGCGUAUAUAUCGUACACCGGAGCCUCUCCGACCUUCCCAGCGAUCUCCAACACAAGGCACCACUAUCAACACUGAGUAAACACACAAACACUGAGGAUUAUUAGAUCAGCACAAG